AAAAAUAAAUACACUUACUGCGCGGCGAAAACCUUACAACAGUGUCUUUUUGAUACAGAACUCUUGAUUUGGUUUGGCCUAGAGAUAGGUUGGGCCAGAGGUUUAACCAAACACAAUUUAAUUAUUUUUACAGUUAGUCAACUUUUGAAUUAAUCUUCAAAACUUUCAACAACGGAUCUCUUGGUUCUCGCAUCGAUGAAGAACGCAGCGAAAUGCGAUAAGUAAUAUGAAUUGCAGAUUUUCGUGAAUCAUCGAAUCUUUGAACGCACAUUGCGCCCUCUGGUAUUCCAGAGGGCAUGCCUGUUUGAGCGUCAUUUCUCUCUCAAACCCCCGGGUUUGGUAUUGAGUGAUACUCUUAGUCGGACUAGGCGUUUGCUUGAAAAGUAUUGGCAUGGGUAGUACUGGAUAGUGCUGUCGACCUCUCAAUGUAUUAGGUUUAUCCAACUCGUUGAAUGGGUGGCGGGAUAUUUCUGGUAUUGUGGCCCGGCCUACAACAACCAAUCAAGUCGCCUCAAUCCGGAGGAGCCC
RNAcentral lists this ribosomal RNA (528 nucleotides) under Meyerozyma guilliermondii. Its description in RNAcentral is "eukaryotic LSU rRNA". The stretch from base 161 to 314 matches the Rfam family "5.8S ribosomal RNA". The record is from RNAcentral. Lineage: Eukaryota; Fungi; Ascomycota; Pichiomycetes; Serinales; Debaryomycetaceae.